AAAGAUAUCAUUUACAAUAGUUUAGUACACAUUUAUGGUUAAACAUUUUAGGUAUCAAUGAACAAACAAUUAAAUGUAAAACCCAUAUCAGUAUCACAGUGAAUGUAUUACUCUGACAAAAAGGAAUUGCCCCUUCCCAAAAACCUCCUAGCAUCUAUGUCUUACCAUGACAAGCCAACUACACACUAUGCUUCCCCAUUUAUCAUUUUAUGUUACACAAGUUGUACAAAUUUAAUAUACUGUGAAAAUUCAUUUCUCUUUCUUACUGUGUUCAUAUA
This is a non-coding RNA of Notechis scutatus (mainland tiger snake), 278 nucleotides long. Lineage: Eukaryota; Metazoa; Chordata; Lepidosauria; Squamata; Elapidae. The record is from RefSeq and is a predicted model, not a curated record.